ACGCGAAGAACCUUACCAAAUCUUGACAUCCUUUGACAACUCUAGAGAUAGAGCUUUCCCCUUCGGGGGACAAAGUGACAGGUGGUGCAUGGUUGUCGUCAGCUCGUGUCGUGAGAUGUUGGGUUAAGUCCCGCAACGAGCGCAACCCUUAAGCUUAGUUGCCAUCAUUAAGUUGGGCACUCUAAGUUGACUGCCGGUGACAAACCGGAGGAAGGUGGGGAUGACGUCAAAUCAUCAUGCCCCUUAUGAUUUGGGCUACACACGUGCUACAAUGGACAAUACAAAGGGCAGCGAAACCGUGAGGUCAAGCAAAUCCCAUAAAGUUGUUCUCAGUUCGGAUUGUAGUCUGCAACUCGACUACAUGAAGCUGGAAUCGCUAGUAAUCGUAGAUCAGCAUGCUACGGUGAAUACGUUCCCGGGUCUUGUACACACCGCCCGUCACACCACGAGAGUUUGUAACACCCGAAGCCGGUGGAGUAACCUUUUAGGAGCUAGCCGUCGAAGGUGGGACAAAUGAUUGGGGUGAAGUCGUAACAAGGUAGCCGUAUCGGAAGGUGCGGCUGGAUCACCUCCUUU
This 576-nucleotide ribosomal RNA is filed under the name Staphylococcus aureus. Its description in RNAcentral is "bacterial SSU rRNA". It matches the Rfam family "Bacterial small subunit ribosomal RNA", at positions 959 to 1533 of the family's 1533-position model. The record is from RNAcentral. Lineage: Bacteria; Bacillati; Bacillota; Bacilli; Caryophanales; Staphylococcaceae.